AUGUUACGCCAAUUUGAACUUGCUCGGUCUGUUCAAUUGCGGCCUUAUAAUGCAAUCUCAUUCUCUGGUCCAAUUGCUGUUUUUGUUUCUAUAUUCCUUAUUUAUCCACUAGGGCAAUCCGGUUGGUUCUUUGCACCGAGUUUUGGCAUAGCAGCGAUAUUUCGAUUCAUCCUUUUCUUCCAAGGAUUUCAUAAUUGGACGUUGAACCCAUUUCAUAUGAUGGGAGUUGUCGUAGUAUUAGGUGCGGCUCUGCUAUGCGCUAUUCAUGGAGCGACCAUAGAAAUCACUCUAUUUGAGGAUGGUGAUGGUGCAAAUACCUUUCGUGCUUUUAACCCAACUCAAGCUGAAGAAACUUAUUCCAUGGUCACUGCUAACCGCUUUUGGUCCCAAAUCUUUGGUGUUGCUUUUUCCAAUAAUCUCUGGUCCAUUUCUUUAUGCUAUUUGUACCCGUCACCGGUUUAUGGAUGA
This 468-nucleotide ribosomal RNA is filed under the name Triticum aestivum (bread wheat). RNAcentral describes it as "partial small subunit ribosomal RNA". Lineage: Eukaryota; Viridiplantae; Streptophyta; Magnoliopsida; Poales; Poaceae. The record is from RNAcentral.